AGUGAACGCUGGCGGUAGGCCUAACACAUGCAAGUCGAACGGCAGCACAGUAAGAGCUUGCUCUUACGGGUGGCGAGUGGCGGACGGGUGAGGAAUACAUCGGAAUCUACUUUUUCGUGGGGGAUAACGUAGGGAAACUUACGAUAAUACCGCAUACGACCUACGGGUGAAAGCAGGGGAGCUUCGGACCUUGCGCGAUUGAAUGAGCCGAUGUCGGAUUAGCUAGUUGGCGGGGUAAAGGCCCACCAAGGCGACGAUCCGUAGCUGGUCUGAGAGGAUGAUCAGCCACACUGGAACUGAGACACGGUCCAGACUCCUACGGGAGGCAGCAGUGGGGAAUAUUGGACAAUGGGCGCAAGCCUGAUCCAGCCAUACCGCGUGGGUGAAGAAGGCCUUCGGGUUGUAAAGCCCUUUUGUUGGGAAAGAAAAGCAGCAGGUUAAUCCCCCGCUGUUCUGACGGUACCCAAAGAAUAAGCACCGGCUAACUUCGUG
Molecule: ribosomal RNA, 492 nt
Filed under: uncultured bacterium
Lineage: Bacteria
Description: partial 16S ribosomal RNA
Rfam family: Bacterial small subunit ribosomal RNA
Source: RNAcentral